UGUUUUGAAUAUUUUUGCUUUGUUCAAAGGCACUUAUGCCAAGGCAAAGAGGAGGGCCAAGAAGGCGGAAUGCGAGUUAGUUGUGGACACCACGGAGCUGUCGGCGAUGCUGCUGCGGGUGCAGCUGGAGGUGUGGCAGCAGAACAGGGACGUCCUGCAUGAGCAGCAGCAGCUGAGGCAUGAAGUGCGGGUCGUUGUCUCAGCCUGCCUUGUCGACGGUGCCUCCAGUUCUUCCUCGGCUACUUGCCGACAAUAUUAAAGAAUUAGAGGCAGCCGUGCGGGAUGAGGCUGUGGCUGCC
This is a long non-coding RNA of Dermacentor silvarum, 299 nucleotides long. RefSeq lists it as uncharacterized. The record is from RefSeq and is a predicted model, not a curated record. The transcript is spliced from 3 exons. Lineage: Eukaryota; Metazoa; Arthropoda; Arachnida; Ixodida; Ixodidae.